Molecule: long non-coding RNA, 285 nt
Filed under: Ananas comosus (pineapple)
Lineage: Eukaryota; Viridiplantae; Streptophyta; Magnoliopsida; Poales; Bromeliaceae
Description: long non-coding RNA (ACOM_LNC009050)
Source: RNAcentral
CUCCUAAUCCAACCUAAAAGGAAGUUCUACACCCAUCAAUUUAACCGCAAAAGCUACAAAUCAAAACCCCCAAAUAAAACCCUAAAUUUCUCAUUCUAGAUUUUCCUCACAAAAAUUCACAAGAAAUAUGAUCUAAAGAGAAGAUCACGGUUACUAACCUCUCUUGAAGCUCCAAACCAAGCUAGGAGUGAGCUAAGGUUAGAAAUCUUUCCUCGAACAAGCUCCAAUCCAAGCUCCAAGGCUUCUCCAAUGGUGGGAGAACCACCAACAUGCAAAGAGAAGCAA